GACACCAUUCUGGAGAUUGGAAACAAAGAAAAAACAAAACAGUUCUCAUCCUCAGGGAGUUUAUAUUCCAUCAAAAAAGCCAUUUUUAAGUGAUUCAGAAGGCAGAAGGCAAAUUUAUAUGGUUAAAGAAAGUGGACUUGGGGCUUCAGAAAAAUUUUAAAAGCAACUAGUCCUGCUUCCAGAAGCCUACAUCUUUGAGUUACCAACAGUACCUGCAUGGGAAAAGACAUAUUUGGAUUCAUUUUCUGGAUCACCUGGUGACAUCAGUUGGUUCCUUUUGAGAAUAACCAGUAUGCAGUAGCAUCUGUAACAAGUAAGGGGACAAGAAGCUGGAGAAUGAAGUUUCAAAACAUGGGAAGAAUGGAUAUAGAAGAGGAAGAGGUCAAGAAGAAUUAGGAACUAGAAAAAGCCACUGGAUGUAGAAACUAGUGAAGCUUGAAAAAAAGAAGCUUAAUAGAGAACUGGGGAGAUGGGCAAUGGAAUAAAAGCAAGAUAAAA
Molecule: long non-coding RNA, 498 nt
Organism: Sarcophilus harrisii (Tasmanian devil)
Lineage: Eukaryota; Metazoa; Chordata; Mammalia; Dasyuromorphia; Dasyuridae
Exons: 4
Source: RefSeq, a predicted model, not a curated record